RNAcentral lists this unclassified non-coding RNA (202 nucleotides) under uncultured Methanosarcina sp. RNAcentral describes it as "16S-23S ribosomal RNA intergenic spacer". The record is from RNAcentral. Lineage: Archaea; Methanobacteriati; Methanobacteriota; Methanomicrobia; Methanosarcinales; Methanosarcinaceae.
CCCUCCGCCCAGAUGCCGAUAAACCGAAACAAAAUCCUCAAACCAUUAAUUAAUCAAUUCAAACCAUUUACUAAUCAUUAUCAAAUGCACCCGUAAAGUAAAUUUUCGGGGAAGGAUGGAUUGCCUGUACUGACGUACAGGUACAUGAAGUCAUGUAUAGGUGCUGUAUACUGGACGCUUACUGGACCUGGUUAGGAUAACA